CGCAGCUUGGUCUCGCCAUGCACCUGGCACAUCUCAUCCUCACCGUCUUCCUGGGCCAGCUCCUGGUGGCUGAGGCCAGAGCCCAGGUAGAGCAGGAGCCAUUCCUGGAGACCACCGAGGGCACCGGCAUCAACAUCACCUGCUCACAUCCCCAAAUCCAGAUCAGCGAUUGGAUCCAGUGGUACCUUCUGCUCUCGGGCCAAAGACCUGAACUUCUUGCACUCACAGUUAAAGAGACCAAAGACCUGUCGGCCAUUGCAGGAACGCUGUCGGUGUCGGAAGAUCGGCGCUCCAGCGCGCUGUGGCUGGCUGUGCCCCGGCGCGGGGACGCGGCCGUGUAUUACUGCGCGCUGGGGGCCACGGGCAGAGGAGCCGGGGCUGCGGCCGGGCACGAACCGCCGCGGGCGGGGCCGGGCGGGGCCAGCAGGGGCCGCUGCCGCUCCGCCCGCCGGGCUCCCGGGGCGCGGCUCCGCAGCUCCUUCCUCUGCCCCGAGCCCGCCCGCACCGACAGCGCCGAUGGCACCGAAAAGGCCGACACGCUCCGGGCCUGCUGGCCCUCCCUUUAACUACUAUUG
Non-coding RNA from Motacilla alba alba, 575 nucleotides. NCBI's taxonomy places the organism in Eukaryota, Metazoa, Chordata, Aves, Passeriformes, Motacillidae. The record is from the annotation of a RefSeq genome assembly.